CUGCGGCCUAUCAGCUUGUUGGUGAGAUAACAGCCCACCAAGGCUAUGACGGGUAUCCGGCCUGAAAGGGUGAACGGACACACUGGAACUGAGACACGGUCCAGACUCCUACGGGAGGCAGCAGUGGGGAAUUUUGGACAAUGGGGGCAACCCUGAUCCAGCGACGCCGCGUGGAGGACGAAGGUCUUCGGAUUGUAAACUCCUUUUAGAGGGGAAGAAUAAAUUGACGGUACCCUCAGAAAAAGCCACGGCUAACUUCGUGCCAGCAGCCGCGGUAAUACGAAGGUGGCGAGCGUUACUCGGAAUUACUAGGCGUAAAGCGUAUGUAGGCGGCCAGAUAAGUCUUCGGUGAAAUUUUCCGGCUCAACCGGAAAGGGCACGAAGAUACUGUUUGGCUUGAGUGUGGCAGGGGGAGACGGAAUUUCUGGUGUAGCGGUGAAAUGCGCAGAUAUCAGAAGGAACACCGAUGGCGAAGGCAGUCUCCUGGGCCAAUACUGACGCUAAUGUACGAAAGCUAGGGUAGCAAACAGGAUUAGAUACCCUGGUAGUCCUAGCUGUAAACGAUGUUCACUAGAUGUGGGAGGUAUCGACCCCUUCCGCGUCGCCGCUAACGCAUUAAGUGAACCGCCUGGGGAGUACGGCCGCAAGGUUGAAACUCAAAGGAAUUGACGGGGGCCCGCACAAGCGGUGGAGUAUGUGGUUUAAUUCGACGCAACGCGAAAAACCUUACCUGGGCUUGAACUGCUAAUGGUAAAAACCGGAAACGGCAAUGACCCGCAAGGGAGUUAGCAGAGGUGCUGCAUGGCUGUCGUCAGCUCGUGUCGUGAGAUGUUGGGUUAAGUCCCGCAACGAGCGCAACCCUUACCCCAUGUUACCCGUAGCAAUACGGGGUCUCUGAGGGAACUGCCAUUGAUAAAAUGGAGGAAGGUGGGGACGACGUCAAGUCAUCAUGGCCUUUAUGUCCAGGGCUACACACGUACUACAAUGGCCGGUACAGAGGGCAGCAAUAUCGCAAGGUGGAGCAAAUCCCUAAAAGCCGGCCUCAGUUCAGAUUGUGGGCUGCAAUUCGCCCACAUGAAGUAGGAAUCGCUAGUAAUCGCAGAUCAACA
Molecule: ribosomal RNA, 1109 nt
Filed under: uncultured Termite group 1 bacterium
Lineage: Bacteria; Pseudomonadati; Elusimicrobiota
Description: bacterial SSU rRNA
Rfam family: Bacterial small subunit ribosomal RNA
Source: RNAcentral